CCUCUCUCUCCUCUCUCUAGCUCUUGUGUAUUGUGAUGAGUUUGCCAAGUUGGGAAGAUUGUAAUAGAGACAAUAACAGAAGUACUAAAAUUUAAGAGGUUGCAAAAAGACAAGUCCAACAUAUUCCACACACUUAGAGAAUGUGGUGUCUCUCUUUGACUCCUCUCCCUAAAUCACUCUCUAUUUAUGUAUGCCUCUUUUCAAUCCACACACGUACAUCUCUC
RNAcentral lists this long non-coding RNA (224 nucleotides) under Capsella rubella. RNAcentral describes it as "long non-coding RNA (CRUB_LNC003565)". Lineage: Eukaryota; Viridiplantae; Streptophyta; Magnoliopsida; Brassicales; Brassicaceae. The record is from RNAcentral.